RNAcentral lists this ribosomal RNA (85 nucleotides) under Escherichia coli. RNAcentral also lists the same sequence under 1 other name. Lineage: Bacteria; Pseudomonadati; Pseudomonadota; Gammaproteobacteria; Enterobacterales; Enterobacteriaceae. The record is from RNAcentral.
UCUGGUGACAAUGGCAAGGAGGUCACACCUGUUCCCAUGCCGAACACAGAAGUUAAGCUCCUUAGCGCCGAUGGUAGUUGGACUG